RNAcentral lists this long non-coding RNA (1099 nucleotides) under Felis catus (domestic cat). RNAcentral's name for it is "lncRNA (ENSFCAG00000051975.1)". Lineage: Eukaryota; Metazoa; Chordata; Mammalia; Carnivora; Felidae. The record is from RNAcentral.
AUUAGCCACACAUGGCUAGGGAGCACUGCAAGUGUGGUUAGUGUGACUGAGGAAUCAUAUUUUUUUGUAUUUCAUUAAUUGAAAUUUUAAAUACCCACAUGUGAGGAGUGGCUCCCAGAUUGGAUGUCACAAAGAGGAAACUAACCUUACAUUUAGAAAAUUAUGGAACGGAGGCCAUGUCUGGAGACGGUUCGCCUUAAUCAGGCACCACAUUGCAGCAUAAAUAACCCUGGGCAUCUGAGACAAGGAAGGGAAAUUCCAACAGAAGGUGUGUCGCUGAGGGGUGUAUGAAGACAGCCUCACCAGCUCAAGUUUUUCCAGCAACAGCCGUAUUCUUUCGGCAUCUGGAAUUUGACCAGAUAGGUGUGGCUCCGAGUGCUGAUAAUCGAGGACAGCCUUCUCAGACUGCAACGUGCGUACACAUCUCCUUGGGAGCUUGGUAGCUACACAUACAGAUUCACUGGGACUGGCACGAGGCCCAAGACUCAGCAGUGCUAACAAGAUCCCAGAUGAUGCUGAGGCUGCCGGUCCAUGGACCACGCUCUGAGUAGUGAGGCUCUGCACUCAUGCUCUGGUCCGAGAGAGCUGGAGCUGAAAGGAGCUGUCAAGGUCAGGUUCUCUCCAAGCAGAGCCUGAGCCAGGAAUUCUUGUAGAAGUGCCCUCUAGAGAAAUUUGGAAGAGCGUGUAGGAUGAGACCAGGGAAGAAACUAAGCACAGGGGUGGUGCAGAAGAACGCUAACCUCAGUCUGAUCCUCAGGGCAGCUCUGGAACGCAAGUGAUACCGCGACGGUAUUCCAUCCUGAGGCGGGAGAACCAGGGUUUUGCCCCACCGUCAGUCGGUCAUUGGCCAGGGGCUGCCGCAGGGAGAAAGGCAGAACCUCCCUGUACGGCCAGGCGUUAGUGGCUCCCAUUUGGUCAAGGAGAAGUAUGCAAGUGUGAGCCAUCAGCAUCCAACACUGACAGCCCCUGGGAGUUGCAUACUUCCAUGGUAUAGGGAUCUGGCAGGCCACCAACCGUCUACUCCAAAGGCCUAAAAGUCUUCCAGGCCACCUGCCCCAUCCCUACUCAUUUUCAUAUCAGAGAUUUUACCUUUGAAAGU